This 1579-nucleotide ribosomal RNA is filed under the name Phocoena sinus (vaquita). Its description in RNAcentral is "16S ribosomal RNA". It matches the Rfam family "Bacterial large subunit ribosomal RNA". The record is from RNAcentral. Lineage: Eukaryota; Metazoa; Chordata; Mammalia; Artiodactyla; Phocoenidae.
ACUAUAACUAGCCCACCCCCCCCCCAUUACUAAUAUCAUAAGCCAGUCAAAUAAAACAUUCACCACGCGUUUAAAGUAUAGGAGAUAGAAAUUUAAUCAUCAGUGGAGCUAUAGAGAAAGUACCGUAAGGGAAAGAUGAAAGAAUCAAUAAAAGUAAAAAAAAGCAAAGCUUACCCCUUGUACCUUUUGCAUAAUGACUUAACUAGUAAUAAUUUAGCAAAGAGACCUUAAGUUAAAAUACCCGAAACCAGACGAGCUACUUACAAGCAGUGACUAGGACAAACUCAUCUAUGUGGCAAAAUAGUGAGAAGACUUAUAAGUAGAGGUGAAAAGCCUAACGAGCCUGGUGAUAGCUGGUUGUCCAAAAAAGGAAUUUCAGUUCAACAUUAAACAAUGCUAAGAACCCUAUCAAGUUUCAACGUAUGUUUAACUGUUAGUCUAAAAAGGUACAGCUUUUUAGAAACGGAUACAACCUUUACUAGAGAGUAAUAUAAAACUUAAACCAUAGUUGGCUUAAAAGCAGCCACCAAUUAAGAAAGCGUUCAAGCUCAACAACAAAAAUAAGUUUUAAUCCCAAUAAUAAAUAAAGCAACUCCUAGCCUGACUAUUGGACCAAUCUAUUUAAUUAUAGAAGCAAUACUGUUAAUAUGAGUAACAAGAAAAUUUUUCUCCUCGCACAAGCUUACAUCAGUAACUGAUAUUAUACUGAUAAUUAACAGUUAAUAAAUACAACCCAACACUAAAUUAUUUAUUAAACACACUGUUAACCCAACACAGGCGUGCACUAAGGAAAGAUUAAAAAAAGUAAAAGGAACUCGGCAAACACAAACCCCGCCUGUUUACCAAAAACAUCACCUCUAGCAUAACCAGUAUUAGAGGCACUGCCUGCCCAGUGACUUAAUCGUUAAACGGCCGCGGUAUCUUGACCGUGCAAAGGUAGCAUAAUCACUUGUUCUCUAAAUAAGGACUUGUAUGAAUGGCCACACGAGGGUUUUACUGUCUCUUACUUUUAAUCAGUGAAAUUGACCUCCCCGUGAAGAGGCGGGGAUAAUAAAAUAAGACGAGAAGACCCUAUGGAGCUUUAAUUAAUCAACUCAAAAAUCACAAAACAAUACCACUAAGGGAUAACAAAAUUUUAUAUGAGUUGACAAUUUCGGUUGGGGUGACCUCGGAGCACAAAAAACCCUCCGAGUGACUAAAACCUAGGCCUACUAGCCAAAGUGUAAUAUCACUUAUUGAUCCAAAUUUUUGAUCAACGGAACAAGUUACCCUAGGGAUAACAGCGCAAUCCUAUUCUAGAGUCCAUAUCGACAAUAGGGUUUACGACCUCGAUGUUGGAUCAGGACAUCCUAAUGGUGCAGCAGCUAUUAAGGGUUCGUUUGUUCAACGAUUAAAGUCCUACGUGAUCUGAGUUCAGACCGGAGUAAUCCAGGUCGGUUUCUAUCUAUUACGCAUUUCUCCCAGUACGAAAGGACAAGAGAAAUAAGGCCAACAUCAAAGAAGCGCCUUUAAAUAAUUAGUGAUUCAAUCUUAACCUAAUAAAUUAGCGCAAAUAUAUUAUGCCCAAAAUCAGGGCUUU